AUUGAACGCUGGCGGCAUGCUUUACACAUGCAAGUCGAACGGCAGCGCGGGCUUCGGCCUGGCGGCGAGUGGCGAACGGGUGAGUAAUACAUCGGAACGUGCCCAGUAGUUGGGGAUAGCUCGGCUACAGCCGGAUUAAUACCGCAUACGACCUGAGGGUGAAAGCGGGGGAUCUUCGGACCUCGCGCUAUUGGAGCGGCCGAUGGCAGAUUAGCUAGUUGGUGGGGUAAAGGCCUACCAAGGCGACGAUCUGUAGCUGGUCUGAGAGGACGACCAGCCACACUGGGACUGAGACACGGCCCAGACUCCUACGGGAGGCAGCAGUGGGGAAUUUUGGACAAUGGGCGAAAGCCUGAUCCAGCAAUGCCGCGUGUGUGAUGAAGGCCUUCGGGUUGUAAAGCACUUUUGGCGGGAACGAAAAGGACUGUGCCAAUACCACGGUUCGAUGACGGUACCCGCAGAAUAAGCACCGGCUAACUACGUG
RNAcentral lists this ribosomal RNA (484 nucleotides) under uncultured bacterium. RNAcentral describes it as "partial 16S ribosomal RNA". It matches the Rfam family "Bacterial small subunit ribosomal RNA", at positions 30 to 507 of the family's 1533-position model. The record is from RNAcentral.